CCCCAUCCCGGCUUCACGUUCAAGGUUUAGCUGCGAGGUCACGUCCAUUGACGUCAGCUCCCCGUCUCCCUCUACGUCCGGCUACAUUUACAUACAUCAAGGAAAUUAGGGCAUUAAAAAAAUAUGCAAAUCCUGCGCGAAGAGGAGCCGGUGCAUUCCUGGCGCGAUCGCCUUUUAUUGAAGCUUUUAAUUAAAGGGGCCAGUUGGCGAGCCCAUGAAACAACCGCCAAAACCCCCAAAAGAGAAAAAUAAAUGCUGUAGCCUUCGGGAACGGUUGUUUCGGUUCCUGUUCUGUGGGCGGCUGAGGACCGCCGGCUGCCCGGCUCGGAGAAGAACAGGCUGGGGACAUGGGAAAUUUGAAAAAACAAUAUUUGGUGAUUUGGACUAGUAAAGCACUUAAUCUGGACAAGUGUACGACCCUGAAGGCUGGCUCUGCUGCUCACACAGAACUUCCAAAACCAGGACUCCUUCCCAGGAACUAAAAUGAAGGGGCGAUGCCUCCACUAAAACACGGAUUCACCGAAACACAGGGACAGCCAUCUAAGGCGAAGACCAAAAGGGUUCUUUAGGUCUGAUGGUUAGCCCCUGCUAAUAGAACAUGGAUAUCUUCAGGAAUCCAUUUCUCAUAAUUCAAAUAUCCUGCCUGUGACAGGGAGAGCUGGGGAGGGAAUCGGUGGCACCUGGGCAGAGGCAGAAAGCCAUCUGCUGGCUUCCUCCACCACCUCUGGUCAGAGAAGAGAAUCAACGAGGUGAUGCAGCAAUCCUUUCUGGAAACCAGACCUUUGUUUUCUGCAGCUCUCUAAAGGAGACAGUCAACCUCCUUGUCAUUGUUACCAUUAUCAUCACAGUAACACACAAAUACCUAUGACCCCAGGACAAAUGAUAGACCCUGUGUCUACCCAGCGGGACGCAAUGACCAGGCCUCAGUCCUCAGAGGCCUUGCUGUUUCUCUGUGUUAAUUCAGCACAUACACAUGCAAAACUUAUGAACAGCCUGGGGCAAGGUGCCCGCGGAGCAAUCCAGGUUAAGUGUUACUGAGGGAAGGGAUUAACCGAUGAAGUUUCAUGUAAGAGGCAGGAAUUGAUGUGGGUCUUGAAAAAAGAGAAGAGAUAGUAAAAUACACUGGGCUUGUGAUUGGGCCCUGGGCAAGGGCCAAGGUGGGAAUUUCCAGAGCAGUCAGGGUCACACCUGGUUAGAAGGGAAACCAUGAAAGAAGAGGAAUGUUGGGGUCUCUGGAGGGACUUGAAGGUUGGACUGUGGAGACCUUGAAUUCCAAGCUAGCAGGUCUUGGGUUUAGAUGGUGGAAAUGCAGAUCUAUGAGGGUUGUGGAGCAGAGGGAACUCAGACCUCUCAGUGGACAGAAAGAUGUAUUGGGAUAUCCUGUAAUUAGGAAGGCCUGGAAGCAUGGACCAGUCUGGAAACUACUGUGAUAGUCUGAGCUAGAGGUGACCAAGAACUGGGAAGGCAAAGUGCAGGUAUAUUUCAGGGGGUAUUUAUGGGAACACAUUGUGAAUUAGAUUCUAUUGGAGGCACACUGCGUAGAGCACAAUUGUUCUUCAUAUCCAUUCAUUUACCUGUCUCAUUUUAUGCAAGAAUAAACAGGCUGAAUAUAUAACAAAUAACUACAAGAUUAAAUCUGUCAAUUGGAUUAUGCAUUAAAUCCUCACAUUACUGAAGAAAAAGAAAACCCAAAAUAAACCGAAUGAAAUACCCUCUAAAUAGGCUCCGAGUUACAUAGUAGUUGUUUAAAAAUUAUUGGUUGAAUUUGAAUGUAAAUUACUCUUCUAUAAUAAACUUCAAGAAAUUUAGCUAAAUUUUCUAAAGCCUGCUAAAUAUGUCCCAAGCCAAAAUUUUCUUUUACAGUGAAUUUGGACAGCUUUCUGUGGCAAAACUUGUUCUAUGAAACAAAUACAUUUACCUUUUAUCACCAGGAGAAUUACAAAAAGUCUGUUCAUAGAGAAAUGCUUGAUAAAAUGGAAUGCUCAGAGGAAUUUUAUAUUUAAUGUGUUUUACUGAAUCAUUAUUGGGAACACGCUAGGAUUUUCAUUUUAAUUAAUAGAUUCUAUUGGAUAAAAAGAGAAUGAGAAAACCAAGACAAAACUACACUGUGCUUUCCUGUCAGCUGAAGUCCACACGGAGAUACCAAAUACAUAUGCCACUUAUCUAUUAAGUCUGCGUGAGACCUGGUUUAAACAAACAAUCAAAUGGAAAAUUAGCUGGGUAAUUUCAAAAGAAGGGGGGUUGGGGGAGUCAGUUAAGCAGUGCAGUGAAGCUUGACUAGAUCAGAAGAAACUAAAACCCCGGCUUGGUAGACGCUGAUACUGGUUUGCAUGGAGGAGUUAUUUUGCUAAAAGGAAGUAAAACCACUUCAUGAAAUGUGUUGUCCUGUGAUAUGAUGAGCACUGGGCUAGCGUUCGAAAAAAUGGAAAUGCUUCACAGAGCCUCUGAGAAAAGGUUGUGUGUGUGUU
Myotis davidii is the source of this 2468-nucleotide long non-coding RNA. RefSeq lists it as uncharacterized. The transcript has 3 exons. The record is from RefSeq and is a predicted model, not a curated record. Lineage: Eukaryota; Metazoa; Chordata; Mammalia; Chiroptera; Vespertilionidae.